Molecule: ribosomal RNA, 295 nt
Filed under: uncultured Mycoplasma sp.
Lineage: Bacteria; Bacillati; Mycoplasmatota; Mollicutes; Mycoplasmatales; Mycoplasmataceae
Description: partial 16S ribosomal RNA
Rfam family: Bacterial small subunit ribosomal RNA
Source: RNAcentral
UUAGUUAGUUUGGUGAGGUAAUGGCCCACCAAGACUAUGAUGUUUUAGCCGGGUCGAGAGACUGAACGGCCCACCAUUGGGACUGAGAUACGGCCCAAACUCCUACGGGAGGCAGCAGUAGGGAAUAUUCCACAAUGAGCGAAAGCUUGAUGGAGCGACACAGCGUGCACGAUGAAGGUCUUCGGAUUGUAAAGUGCUGUUAUAAGGGAAGAACAUUUGCAAUAGGAAAUGAUUGCAGACUGACGGUACCUUGUCAGAAAGCGAUGGCUAACUAUGUGCCAGCAGCCGCGGUAAU